Molecule: RNA transcript, 3553 nt
Organism: Bombyx mori (domestic silkworm)
Lineage: Eukaryota; Metazoa; Arthropoda; Insecta; Lepidoptera; Bombycidae
Exons: 3
Source: RefSeq, a predicted model, not a curated record
CAUGCGUUUAUUUUUGAAGUGAAACUUCUUUAUCGGCGUUGGAAAAAAAUUUACCGUCACAUUUUUCGGUUACGCGUCACAUUUUUCCGUUACGCGCCAUCUUUUUUGUAUUCAUGUCUAUGAUAAUAAAAUCCUUUUGUUUAAACUUUAUCUAAUUUAACUUUUUUGUAUUCAUGUCUAUGAUAAUAAAAUCCUUUUGUUUAAACUUUAUCUAAUUUAACUUUAUUUAACCAAUUUCUAGAAAGUUGCAUGUAGAUCAUUUUUCGAAAAAUAAGGCCAUAAAGAAGUUUCACUUCUUACGUGUGUACACUAGUACACGCACACAUUUUUUUCUUUUAGAAAAACUAAGAUUUCUUGAGAAAUGCCGAUAAAUUAAAAAAAAAAAAUAUUGCUUUAUGUGCGAGAGAAACAUCAAGAUCUUUCAAGCAUUAAUAUUGUCCACGUGAUACAUUCAAGUCAUUCGAAAGCUGACCUAGAAGAAAUACCUUUGUCAAAAUCUCUUGGAUACUCAAUAAGAAAGAAGCUUACUGGUUCUUUAGAAGAUGAUCGUUUAAAUAAAGAGUUUAUGGAGCAAUACCAGGAAAUGCUGAAAGCCAGCCAGGAGUCUUUGGGAACCAUCGAUGCGCUGACUCGGAAUAUGAGGGGGGUCGUUGAUGAUGAAGACAUCAACGUUUUGAAAAGUGCGGAACAGGCAGAUCAUCGCCGGCGUGCUCCUGAGAUCCAGUCCGAGUUUCGGAAGAGACACGCCAGGUCACAAGCGAUCCGCAAGAAGAAGUUAAGCGUACAAAGUCUCAAGAAUCACGUACAACACUCAAAGAAACAUAGCUUGGAUUAAUAAUAUAAUUUUUAUAAGAGACGGGAGAAAGCGGAAAUGUCCUAGCUUGAGUUUUGGGCUAAAUCACUUUUUAAACUAUUCUUAUAAAUACGGUAUGUAUUUUCAUCGUACUAACUUUUGAAAUAGUUUUAUAGCUUUGGUGUAAAGUUGGGAUUAUCGAGUUACGCCAGUAAAAUUCCGCUUUCUCCGUCUAUAAAACAAAUAGAAGAGAGUACUCGUAAACGUGAAAUGCUUUUAAAGUAAUUAAUAAAUUUACACAUUUUCUUUAUUUUUAUGUCGAAGACACUUACUUUGUUUUUAUCUAAAUAAAUAAUAUUAUAGUUUAAAAAAACUAAAAAAAAAACGCUUUUAUAGAAAAUCCAACUAAAAAAUAGAAAAUAAAUUUUAAUAAAUUUGCAUUAAAAAUAGUGUAAGAAAAAAUGAUUUUAUUGUAAAAAAAAGCGUGGGGUGCAUGGUAUCAGUAGUUAUAAAUAUUUUAUGACAGAUAUGAAUAGAAGGGUUAUUUUGAUAAUACCCUGAAAAGCAGUAGAUGGCGGUAUUUAUAUACGCGAUUAUGUGUAUAUGGGCACAAAGGCCACUAUUGGCAAUAAUUGACAUGAUAUAUAGUUUAGUUUAUUCUAUGUUAUUUUAUUUAUUUAUUAUUAGCAAGAUGAAACUGUUAUUCUACCAUAUUUGAUAUUACAUAGACGCUGUCUUGAUGUCUGAAAUGUUCGGGAAUAAUGUUAGUUUGUAAUAUUCAAAUGUAAUUUAUGUAAAAUAUAUUAAUGUUAGAGUGAUGUAAAAAUCACUAAAAUAUUCAUUGUGAAUUGUAAGCUACAUUUUAUUGAUUGUUUUGCAGUAAUUCCAUUCGUUUGUAUAAAAGAAGUUUUAGUUGCUAUAAUCAAACACAAAAUGGCUAAUAGGGAAUAUGCAUGUUUUUUUUUUAAAACGAUUCUACUUACUAGUUAUUACUUUACCAAAGAUAAAUAUAUUACAUCCGUAAUACAAAUCAUCAAAUCAUCAUCGUAUUUUUCUAAUAAAAUCACUCUCAUUUUGGGGCGAUUUAAACACGGUCAUUUUGGUACGCUUUUUCUGUGACGUCAGAUUACAGACGAAUUCGAUGUCAAAAACGGAGCGAAGUUCACAACGUUAUGGCUCCUCUUCACAAUCGGCCAUGAUGGGCCAACAAAUGAUCGUCCAUCAUCGCCGCCAUGAUCGGGCAACUCUCCACACAAUCAAUGGCGGAUCCAGGGGGGGGGGUCAUGGGGGUCACCCCCUAAGCUGGUUCCAGGACUUAGAUGGACCACUGAUUGAAUAUACCUAAUGAUUUUAUUUAUACAUAUAUUUUGUCACCAUACAGAUUUUAUGUAACUACAUACCUUCAAUAUUUAAUUAAUUUAAUAUAAUAACUUUGUAUAAUGGCAAACGUUUGGGAACGAACGCAUCUAAAUUUGACUAUGUGCCCUCCUGGCGCCAAAGUUGGAUCCGCCCUUGCACACAAUCGUGAACGUUCAUUUACUGACUGUCUACUGGUAUGUUAAGACGUCUAGGUAUCGAUGAUGGCAAUCGAGGAGAUCGCGGCUGCGGCAAUAUUUUUAGUUAGCUCACAUAGUCAAUUAGUUAAUGUGCGCGAAAAAAGAAUCGUGAAAACUUUUUUUUUAUUGCCCUUGUAGACAUACGAGCAUACGGCCCACCUGAUGGUGAGUGUUUACCGUCGCCCAUGGACUUCAGCAAUGCUAGGAGCAAAGCCAAGCCGCUGCCCACCGAUAACGAUAAACAAGAUGGAGGAAGAGAAGUUGGUGGGUGGUGGCUAUCAAUCGGAACAAAACGGGGUCCACGCAACCAUAGUUUUGUAGUCGACACAAUUGACACACAAUUGACAAUUGGUGUGGACGCUCACACAAUCAUGGGCCAUCAUUCCUUUGAUCUACCGACACAGCGCCGAUUGCGCACGAUCAUACGCGAUGAUGGCCGAUCACACACAUUUAUGCCCUCUACACUAUCGUGAGCUUCCAUAAUCGACCAUCAUGGCCGAUUGUGAAGAGGAGUCAUUAGAAAGUGUGUCGGCACCUUUGUUGGAAAGUUUGCCUACGUUUGCCGCUAGGAGCGCUGUUUCAACUGCAUACUUGAGAUAACUUUUACGCUAUCGAAAACGUUAAAAAACUCGCACUAACUAAACUCGCACACUGCAGGCUUUGGUACUGAGGGAGUUCAUAUAGUGUCCCUUCUUUAUUUCGCCAUAGUCGUGUUUUAUGUAAUUAACACCACAGUUGAAACAAUAUAAAUUUUAUUAUUGUAGCGGCAUAAACAAUUCUAAGUAAUUAUAUUACAUUUGUACGUUUUAAAUAUUUGGCGGUAAAAAGGUCUCGUGUCACAGACUAUAUUCUUUUUUCCACAUCUCGUGCGUUCCGGCUUACGCAUCAUAAAAAUGUGCGUUCAUAAACGCCACUGUACCUAUGUCAUGAAGCACAUUAUCGAAUGAGAGAGGGUUGCCUUCAGUUUGCUAUAGUCAUCUACAAAAUUUAUUAUAUUACCCGUGAGGGUCAUGACUACACAGGUAUGUAAGUACGUAGUGUUUUUAUUGAUCGAAGCUCCUAAAACUGUAAUGAAAUGGGAAGAUUUCCAUUCGAUUGUGUAGCUCCUGGAAAAUAAAUUAUAGCAAUUGCCUUUAAUUAGAUUCUGCUAUGGAGACGUUUAUUUCUUAAUAUUCUUAAUAAUAAAAUAUUCUUAAUAUCUAAA